AGUGAACGCUGGCGGUAGGCCUAACACAUGCAAGUCGAACGGCAGCACAGUAAGAGCUUGCUCUUACGGGUGGCGAGUGGCGGACGGGUGAGGAAUACAUCGGAAUCUACUUUUUCGUGGGGGAUAACGUAGGGAAACUUACGCUAAUACCGCAUACGACCUACGGGUGAAAGCAGGGGAUCUUCGGACCUUGCGCGAUUGAAUGAGCCGAUGUCGGAUUAGCUAGUUGGCGGGGUAAAGGCCCACCAAGGCGACGAUCCGUAGCUGGUCUGAGAGGAUGAUCAGCCACACUGGAACUGAGACACAGUCCAGACUCCUACGGGAGGCAGCAGUGGGGAAUAUUGGACAAUGGGCGCAAGCCUGAUCCAGCCAUACCGCGUGGGUGAAGAGGGCCUUCGGGUUGUAAAGCCCUUUUGUUGGGAAAGAAAAGCAGCAGGUUAAUACCCCGCUGUUCUGACGGUACCCAAAGAAUAAGCACCGGCUAACUUCGUG
RNAcentral lists this ribosomal RNA (492 nucleotides) under uncultured bacterium. Its description in RNAcentral is "partial 16S ribosomal RNA". It matches the Rfam family "Bacterial small subunit ribosomal RNA", at positions 29 to 507 of the family's 1533-position model. The record is from RNAcentral.